CCUAAAGUGGUUUCUAUUAGAAAACGUCCAAAUCAGGAAAAUUAAACUUGUGACGGUUCGACAAUCCACUGAAUUUGAGGGAACAAGAUUGUGAUCGGUGCUAUGGGAAUGAAUCAUCCAUAAGCAUCAAAGUUAGAACAUUCGAGUUCUAAGACAUGGUUUUUCAUGAAAAACGUCGGGUUUUCAUGGGUGUAUUCUUUUAUGAAAUCUUCAAGUUUCAAAGGCACUAAAUUUGAAACUACAGGUUCAAUUUAGUUUAUGAACGUUUAGUUCAUAAAGGAGAGGUUCCUGCAAGAAACUCAGAAUGCAAUAUACUAACUUAGUAUAGUGGAUUUGAGUUGUCUUCGGGAACUCAAGUGUGAGAGCUUCGUUACUACGAAAGUAUGUGACGGUUCAAAGAAGAGAAAUAAAUUAUUGAAUCGUUAAUGUCCAAAAGUGAUCUUCAAGUCAAUAAUUUUGGAUUCAUUAUCAGAUUAAUUGACUGCAGGUCACUUUUAAUUAAUUCAAUAGAUCGGGACCAUUCGGGGUCGAUCGUAGAAGCAAAAUAAUAUUAAAAUAAUAUUAUUGGAUCGAAAAUAGAGCCCUAAAAAUAAUUGCGCUUAAUGCCCGGGGUUAAGAGGCACGGGUUGGGUGCCUUAAGCAUAAAACGAGGCCCAAAUGUUCCUUUAGUGGUGGCUGCAGGCCAUGGGUGAGGAAUGGGAGACCCUAGCCGCAG
This 715-nucleotide long non-coding RNA is filed under the name Malus domestica (apple). RNAcentral's name for it is "long non-coding RNA (MDOM_LNC012909)". Lineage: Eukaryota; Viridiplantae; Streptophyta; Magnoliopsida; Rosales; Rosaceae. The record is from RNAcentral.